Non-coding RNA from Gossypium raimondii (Peruvian cotton), 87 nucleotides. Lineage: Eukaryota; Viridiplantae; Streptophyta; Magnoliopsida; Malvales; Malvaceae. The record is from Rfam.
CACGUCAGUGUGUUUUGCUGACGUGGCAACAAAUAGCGUCCACGUAAAAGCUAUUUGUUGCCACGUCAGCAAAGCGCGCUGAUGUGG